RNAcentral lists this ribosomal RNA (398 nucleotides) under uncultured Glomeromycotina. Its description in RNAcentral is "SSU rRNA". It matches the Rfam family "Eukaryotic small subunit ribosomal RNA", at positions 569 to 971 of the family's 1831-position model. Lineage: Eukaryota; Fungi; Glomeromycota. The record is from RNAcentral.
AGCAGCCGCGGUAAUUCCAGCUCCAAUAGCGUAUAUUAAAGUUGUUGCAGUUAAAAAGCUCGUAGUUGAAUUUCGGGAUCAGCAGGUUGGUCGUGCCUUUGGUUCGUACUGGUCUCGCUGGUUCCUCCUUUCUGAAGAACUGUAAUGUCAUUAAUUUGGUGUUGCAGGGAAACAGGACUGUUACUUUGAAAAAAUUAGAGUGUUUAAAGCAGGCUAACGCUUGAAUACAUUAGCAUGGAAUAAUGAAAUAGGACGUUUGAUCCUAUUUUGUUGGUUUCUAGGAUUGACGUAAUGAUUAAUAGGGAUAGUUGGGGGCAUUAGUAUUCAAUUGUCAGAGGUGAAAUUCUUGGAUUUAUUGAAGACUAACUACUGCGAAAGCAUUUGCCAAGGAUGUUUUC